AGUGGAUGGGGAGCAACCUAGUUGUGCGUGUGUAAAGGUAGUGCCAAGAAAAGCGAUGAUCAUGUUGAAAAUCAAUUCCCGGUACCCGAAACCGACACAGGUGGGCAAGUAGAGAAUACUAAGGGGCGCGAGGUAACUCUCUCCAAGGAACUCGGCAAAAUGACCCCGUAACUUAGGGAGAAGGGGUGCCACCGAGAGGUGGUCGCAGUGAAGAGGCCCAGGCGACUGUUUAGCAAAAACAUAGGUCUCUGCAAACUCGAAAGAGGAGGUAUAGGGGCUGACGCCUGCCCAGUGCCGGAAGGCUAAAGAAGUUGGUCAGUCUUAGGAUGAAGCUAGCGACUGAAGCCCCGGUGAACGGCGGCCGUAACUAUAACGGUCCUAAGGUAGCGAAAUUCCUUGUCGGGUAAGUUCCGACCCGCACGAAAGGCGUAACGAUCUGGGCGCUGUCUCGGAGAGAGGCUCGGCGAAAUAGGAUUGUCUGUGAAGAUACGGACUACCUGCAUUUGGACAGAAAGACCCUAUGAAGCUUUACUAUAGCUUGGAAUUGUGUUCGGGCUUCCUGUGCGCAGGAUAGGUGGGAGGCGUAGAAGGUAUUCUUGUGGGGAUACUGGAGCCAACGGUGAGAUACCACUCUCAGGAGGCUAGAAUUCUAACUUAAUUAAGGACAGUUUCAGGUGGGUAGUUUGACUGGGGCGGUCGCCUCCAAAAAGGUAACGGAGGCGUACAAAGGUUCCCUCAGACUGGUUGGAAAUCAGUCGAAGAGUGCAAAGGCAGAAGGGAGCUUGACUGCGAGAAGUACAGUUCGAGCAGGGUGGAAACACGGUCUUAGUGAUCCGACGGUGCUGUGUGGAAGGGCCGUCGCUCAACGGAUAAAAGUUACUCUAGGAUAACAGGCUGAUCUCCCCCAAGAGUUCACAUCGACGGGGAGGUUUGGCACCUCGAUGUCGGCUCAUCGCAACCUGGGGCGGAAGUACGUCCCAAGGGUUGGGCUGUUCGCCCAUUAAAGCGGUACGUGAGCUGGGUUCAGAACGUCGUGAGACAGUUCGGUCCAUAUCCGAUGUAGGCGUGAGAAUAUUGAGAGGAGCCUUCCUUAGUACGAGAGGACCGGGAAGGACGCACCGCUGGUGUACCUGUUAUGAUGCCAAUUGUAAACGCAGGGUAGCCAAGUGCGGAGAGGAUAACCGCUGAAAGCAUCUAAGUGGGAAGCCCACCUCAAGAUGAGUAUUCUGGUGUAAGGUCACGGGAAGACGACCCGUAAAUAGGCACGAGGUGGAAGUGCAGAGAUGUAUGAAGCCGAAGUGUACUAAUAGACCGUCGGCUU
RNAcentral lists this ribosomal RNA (1321 nucleotides) under metagenome. Its description in RNAcentral is "bacterial LSU rRNA". It matches the Rfam family "Bacterial large subunit ribosomal RNA", at positions 1561 to 2925 of the family's 2925-position model. The record is from RNAcentral.